CUCUCGCUCGCUCUCGCCCUCACGAUGGCGCUUCUCACCCUGGGACUGGAGAUGGGCGCCGCUCCCGUCGCCGUCGCCGUGGCCGCCUCGCGCCUCUCCUUCUCGCGGAGCGGGAGCCUCGUGGGUUCGUCCUCUGUCGUCUCCCUGUCUCUUCUGUCGGCCUCGACGCCCCUCACCUCCGCGCACGCUCCUCCUCCUUCCCUCUCCAUUAACUGCGGCAGAGGCGAUAAGAAGACCGCGAAAGGGAAGCGGUUCAAGCAUUCCUUCGGAAACGCGCGGCCUCGGGACAAGACGAAGGGGAGAGGUCCGCCGCGGUCUCCGGUGCCGCCCUCGCCGCCUAAGAAGGACCGUUUCGAUGAUGGAGAGAUCGUCAAGAUCGAAAUCGAUGAGUCCCUCUUCUCCUAGCUCUUCUGAACAUUGCUUUUCUCGAUCUGUACUUCCUCGUGUAGCUUUUUCUGCAAGUCGGAUUGCCUAAUCUUAACUCGUUGAACUUUCUCUGAUAUUUGCAUCUACCGAUGAAGACGUUGAAAUUUACGAUCGCAACACCCCCUUUUUG
RNA transcript from Musa acuminata AAA Group (dessert banana), 556 nucleotides. It is a transcript of the gene named 30S ribosomal protein S31 pseudogene, with no coding region annotated. Lineage: Eukaryota; Viridiplantae; Streptophyta; Magnoliopsida; Zingiberales; Musaceae. The record is from RefSeq and is marked validated.